Molecule: long non-coding RNA, 192 nt
Organism: Bombus pyrosoma
Lineage: Eukaryota; Metazoa; Arthropoda; Insecta; Hymenoptera; Apidae
Exons: 3
Source: RefSeq, a predicted model, not a curated record
GAAAAGAUAUCCGAGUGCUUCGUAAACUGUGCUUACAUGAAGACAGCUCGGGUAGGAUUUAAAUAACAUAACAAUUACGGAGCACGGUGCCUGCAGCUUUUAUGAGACCUCUCACAAUGGCCGGUUCUCGAGAAUGCUGAAGGUUAACUUUAGAGAAGGAGAAACAGAGAAAGGAAGAGGCCAGCAUCAAAG